GGGGAUGAACAGGUUUCGACAAGGCAAAAAAAAAUUUUUGUGCAAGGCAGAGGGAAGCGAUGGACUCUGUAAAAACGCUUAAAAAAAAAUAAACGCCAAUACUGACGUUGAACAAGCUUACGCACUAGCUGCUUAAGCAGGGGUCGCUAGCAACCUUUUUACCAAACGCUAGCAAAACGCAGUUUCUUCUUUCUGAGGCAAAAAAGAAGCUCUGGUAGCGGAGGCAAAAAGCAGUUUUGUUGAUUUUCUGCGUAAAAAAAUUAACUAACCUUGUGAAUGACAAAAUAUUGGACGUGUUUUGGACCCCGGUUCGAUUCCGGGCAUCUCCACUU
RNAcentral lists this transfer-messenger RNA (332 nucleotides) under Arenicellales. RNAcentral describes it as "GCA-2724185 sp002724185 Standard tmRNA". It matches the Rfam family "transfer-messenger RNA". From Rfam's summary of the family: Bacterial tmRNA, also known as 10Sa RNA or SsrA, is named for its dual tRNA and mRNA-like properties. Its role is to liberate the mRNA from a stalled ribosome. Lineage: Bacteria; Pseudomonadati; Pseudomonadota; Gammaproteobacteria. The record is from RNAcentral. RNAcentral also lists the same sequence under 1 other name.